Molecule: ribosomal RNA, 479 nt
Filed under: uncultured bacterium
Lineage: Bacteria
Description: partial 16S ribosomal RNA
Rfam family: Bacterial small subunit ribosomal RNA
Source: RNAcentral
GAUGAACGCUAGCGGCAGGCCUAACACAUGCAAGCCGAGCGGUAUUUGUUCUUUGGUACAGAGAGAGCGGGGCACGGGUGCGGGACACGCGUGCAACCUGCCUUUAUCUGGGGGAGAGACUUUCGAAAGGAAGAGUAAUACCCAAUAAUAUAUUGAGUGGCAUCAUUUGUUAUUGAAAACUCCGUUGGAUAGAGAUGGGGACGCGCGAGAUUAGAUAGUUGGUGAGGGAACUGCUCACCAAGUAAAUGAUUGUUAGGUGGCCGGAGGGGGUGAUCCCCCACACGGGGACCGGGACACUGACCAGACUCCUACGGGAGGGAGCAGUAAGGAAGGUAGGACAAUGGAUUAGCGCCUAAUCGAGCCAACCCGGGUGAAGGACGGCGGCCCUAUGGAUUGUAAACUUCUUUUGGAAAAGCAUAAACCUACUCUCGGGAGAGUGGCUGAAGGUACUGGACGAAUAAGCACCGGCUAACUACGUG